Long non-coding RNA from Pongo pygmaeus (Bornean orangutan), 14116 nucleotides. RefSeq lists it as uncharacterized. The transcript is spliced from 7 exons. The record is from RefSeq and is a predicted model, not a curated record. Lineage: Eukaryota; Metazoa; Chordata; Mammalia; Primates; Hominidae.
GCGCAGUGCUGCCCCUUUCUAUGGGCAGGGACGAAGGACUGCGGGCCUGACAGUUCUUGGGCUUGAGUCCAGCGGCAAGCUCCCUCCUGAGUGUCUGAAACCGUCAGUUCACUGCCUCAUGUGAAAGUACCCAGUUCUUGGUAACCUGACACUUCCCUUUUAAAAGCCACCUUUUCUCUAUCUCUGGCCUGCCACGAUUCUUCCUGUGCUCCAUAGGAGGACCCAUUGGAUCCCCGGGCUGGCUGCAGGGCCCACACCUGGGUUAGACCUCUCACAGGGACGCUGCUGCCACUGUAAUAAAGCGUGCCUACACGCUUCUGAAACUGGUGAAGGCACAACCUCAGUUCUGUGAAAGGCGGACACAGCAGGACAGAAUCUCCGUGGACAUCUGUCUGGAGGAGCAAUUUUACUGCGACAUUUUAAAGAAACAAAUUUAAUCGAUUUCCAAGGGUGUCCGUCGCGCUUCCUUCACUGCCUUGAUCAUGUUGGGGUCACCACCUGCGGGGGUUUGUCCUGCAAACCCUGACUGAACGUCGGAUGAAUAAUGUACACUGACACAGAUCUUAUGCUUGUCAGUCCUGCUGAGCAUCCAGGCCACUUACAGACUCCAAGAAGAGUCCUGUCAGCCAUGGCUCUGACUUGUUGGCCCUCCCGGCAUUUAUUUAGCACACAUUUAAUGACAGAAGUCUCAGGCUGGAAACACUCUUUUUGUAGAACAUACAAAUGGACAUUUCUAAGCACAUUGAGGCCUAUAAUGAAAAAUCGAAUAUCCCGUAAGGAAAACUAGAAGGAAGCUAUCUGUGAUAAUGCUUUGUGGUGUGUGGAUUCAUCUGGCCAACUGAAACCUGAGUUUUGAUUCACCAGGUUGGAAACCUUUUUGUAAAAUCUACAAUGGAACAUUUCUGAGCUCAUUGAGGCCUGUAGUGAAAAACUGAAUUUCCUGCAAUAAAAACUGAAAACACUUAUCUGUGAAAGUGAUUUGUGAUGUGCAGAUUCAUCUCAUGAAGAUAAACCUCUGCUUUGAUUGAAUAAACUGGAAGAACUUUUUUGUAGAAAUUUCUGAGCGCAUUUAGGUCUAUAGCAAAAUAAUCUAAUAUCCUGCAAACAAAACUAGAAACAAGCUACAUGUGAAGGUGCUUUCUGAUGUGUGAAUUCAUCUCACCGAAUGAAACUCGUGUUUCGAUUUAGCAGGUUGAAAACAAUCUUUUUGAAGAAUAUACGAAGGGACAUUACUGAGCUUAUUGAGGCUUAUAUUGAAAAACUGAAUAUCCCACAAAAUAAACUAGAAACAAGUGAUCUGUGAAAAUAGUUGGCCAUGUGUAAAUUUAUCUCGCACAGUUAAACCCUUUUCUCAACUCAACAAGUUAGAAGAACUCUUUUUGUAGAAUCUAUGAAAGAAGUUAUCUGUAAAAAUGUUUUGCAAUGUGUUCUCUCAUCCCACAGAGUUAAAUCUUUUUUUUUUUUUUUUUUGAUUCACCAUAUUGGAAAUACUCUUUUUGUAGAAUCUACAAAGAAACAUUUCUGAGCCCAUUGAAGCCUAUAGUAAAAGAACAAAUAUUCUGCAGUUGAAACUAGAAACAAUCUCUUUGAAAAUGCCUUGUGAUGUGUGGAUUCAUCUCAUUAAAAGGAGCCUGUGUUUUGAUUCACCAGAUUGGAAACACUUUUUUGUAGAAUAUACAAUGGGAUGUAUCUGAGCCCAUUGAGGCCUAUAGUAAAAAAUCGAAUAUCUUGCAAUAAAAACUAGAAACGAGCUAUCUUUGAAUGUGCUUUCUGAUGUGUGGAUUCAUCUCACAGAGUUAAACCUUAUGUUUGACUCACCACGUUGGAAAUACUUUUUUUGUAGAAUCUAUGAUAGGACAUUUCUGAGUCUAUUGAUGUGUAUAGUGCAAAACUGAAUAUCCCACAGUAAAAACUAGAAACAAGCUAUCUGGGAAAAUGCCUUAUGAUGUUUUCAUUCAUCUUACAGAGUUAAACCAUUGCUGUAAUUAAACAGGUUGGAAACACUCUCUUUGUAGAAACUAUGAAUUGACAUUUCUGAGCCCUUUGAGGCCUACAGUGAAAAACAGAAUAUCCAGUGAUUAAAACUAAAAACUUUCUGUCUGUGAAAAUACUUUGUGAUGUGUGGAAGCAUCUCAUAGAGUUAAACCUUUGUUUUGGUUCAACAGGUUGGAAACACUUUUUUAGUAGAAUCUAUGAGAAAACAUUUCUGAGCCCUCAUGUGAUGCAAACUAGAAGCAAGCUAUCUGUGAAAACGCUUUGCGGUGUAUGGAUUCAUGUCACAGAGUUAUACCUAUGUUUUGAUUCAACAGGUUGGAAACAAUCUUUUUGUAGAAUCUACAAAGGAACAUUUCUGAGCCAAUUGAGGUCUAGAGUGAAAAAUGGAAUAUCCCAUGAUAAAAACUAUAAAUAAGCUCUCUGUGAAAAUGCCUUGAGAUCUGUGGAUGCAUCUCACAGAGUUAUGCCUUUGCUUAUAUUCAACAGGUUGGAAACACUUUUCUUGUAGAAUCUAUGAAGGGAUAUUUCUGAACCUAUUGAGGCCUACAGUGAAAAAUUGAAUAUCCUGCAAUAUAAACCAGAAACAAGCUAUCUGUGAAGAUGCUUUUCCAUGUGUCCAUCCAUCUUACAGAGUUAAACGUUUGUAUGGAUUCAACAGGUUGGAAAUACUCUUUUUGUAGAAUCUACAAAGGGAUAUUUCUGAACUUUUUGAAGCCUAUUGGCAAAAUCUGAAUAUUGUGUGAUAAAAACUAGAAACAAGUUAUCAGUGAAAAUGCUUUGUGAUGUGAGGGUUCAUGUCACCAAAUAAAACCUGUGUUUUGAUUCACGAGGUUGGACACACUUUUUUUUCUAUAACCUACAUAGGGCCAUUUCUGAGCCUAUUGAGGUCUAUAGCAAAGCAACAACAACAAAUAUCCUGUCUUAUAAUCUAGAAAGAAGUUAUCUGUAAAAAUACUUUGUGAUGUGCGAAUUCAUCUCACAAAGUUAAACCUUUGUUUUGAUUCAACUGAUUGGAAACACUCUUUUUGUAAAAACUAUGAAGGGAAAUUUCUGAGCCCAUUUAGGCCUAUAGUGAGAAACAGAAUAUCCCACUGUAAUAAGUAGAAACAAGCUAUGUGUGAAAAUCAUUUAUGGUGACUGGAUUCAUCUCACCAAAUGGAACCUGUGCUUUGAUUCACCAGUUUGGAAACACUAUUUUUAUAGAAUCUAUGAAGGAAUAUUUCUGAUCCCAUUGAGGGAUAUGCUGAAAAUUCGAAUGUCCCAUGAUAAAAACUACAAACAAGCUAUCUGUGAAAAUGGUUUGUCAUGUGUGGAUUCAUCUCACAGAGUUAAACAUUUGUUUUGAUUCAUCUGUUUGAAAACACGCUUUUUUGUAGAAUCUAAGCAUCAACAUUUCUGAGUGCAUUGAAUGAAAAACAAAUUAUCCCGUGAUAAAAACUAGAAACAAGCUAUCUGUGAAAAUGCUUUGUGAUGUGUGGAUUCAUCUCAAAGAAUUAAACUUUUAUUUUGAUUCAACAGGCUGGAAACACUGUUUUUGUAGAACCUACAAAAAGACAUUGGGGAGCGCAUUGAGUCUUAUAGUGAUAAACCGAGGAUCCUGUGAUAAAACUAGAAACAAGCUAUCUGUGAAAAUGCUUUGUGAUUGGUGAAUUUAUUUCAUAGAGGUUGGAAACACUGUUUUUGUAGAAUGUAUGAAGAGAUAUUUCUGAGGCCUGUUGUGAAAAACUGAGGAUUCUACAAGAAAAACUGGAAACAAGUUAUCUGUGAAAAUGCUUUAUGAUGGGUGAAUUCAUCUCACAAAAUUAAACCUUUGUUUUGAUUCAAAAGGUUGCAAACACUCUUUUUGCAGAAUCUACGAAGGAACAUUUCUGAACCAAUUUUGACCUAUAGUGGAAAACUGAACAUCCUGUGAUAUAAACUAGAGAAAAGAUACCUGUGAAAAUGCUUGCAAUGUGUGGAUUCUUCUCACUGGAUGGGACCUAUGCUUUGAUUCAGUAGGUUGGAAAUGCUCAUUUUGUAGAAUCUACGAAGGAUAUUUCUGAGCCCCUUUGAGCCUGUAGUGAAAAAUCAAGGAUCCCACGAAGAAAAAUAGAAAAACAUUAUCUGUCAAAAUGCUUAUUGGUGUGUGGAUUAUUCUUACCAAAUGGAACCUGUGUUUUGAUUCACCAGGUUGGAAACACUUUUUUGUAGAGUCUAUGAAGGAACAUUUCUCAGCCCAUUGAGGCCUAUAGUGAUGAACAAAAUAUCCCAUGAUAGAAACUAGAAACAAACUGUUUCCAAAAAUGCUUUGCAAUGUGUGGAUUUAUCUUACAGAAUUAAACCUUUAUUUUGAUUUGACAGUCUACAAACUUUUUUUUUAGAAAGUACAGAGGGACAUUUCUGAGACCAUCAACAGCUAUAGUAAAAAAAAAAAAAAUCAAACAACCUGCCUUAAUAUUUAGAAACAAGUUAUCUGUUUAAAUGCUUUGGAAUAUUUUCAUUCAUUUCACACAUUUCAACCUUUUUUUUUAUUCAACGAGAUAAAAACACUCUUUUAGUUGAAUCUACAAAAAGAUAUUUCAAAGCCCAUUGAUGCCUAUAGUGAAAAACUGAAUAUCCCAUGAUAAAACCUAGAAGUGAGCCCUGUGUGAAAAUGCUUUGUGAUGUGUGGGUUCAUCUCACAGAGUUAAACUUAUAUUUUUAUUUGACACCUUGGAAACACUCUUUUUCUAGAAUCUAUGAAGGGACAUUCUGAGGCCAUUGAGGCCUAUAGCAAAAAGCAGAAUAUCCUUCCUUAAAAUCUAGAAACAAUCUAUAUGUGAAGAUGGUUUAUGAUAUGAACAUUUAUCUCACAGAUUUAAAACUAUGUUUUAAUUCAACACAUAAGAAAAAGUCUUUUUGUAGAAUCUAUGAAAGGACACUUCUGUGCCCAUGGAGACCUAUAGUGAGAAACUAAAUAUCCAGCAUUAAAAACUAGAAACAAGCUAUAUGUAAAAAUAUUUUGUGAUGUGUGGAUUCAUCUCUCCCAAUGGAACCUGUGUUUUGAUUCUCCAGGUUGGAAACACUUUUUGUGAAAUCUACGAAGUGACAUUUCUGAGCCCAUUGAGGCAUAUUGUAAAAUUUGAAUAUUCCACGAUAAGAAAUAGAAACAAGCUAUCUCUGAAAAUCCUUUUCGAUGUGUGGCUUCACCUCACAGAGUUAAAUCUUUGUUUCAAUUCAACACCUUGCAAACACUUUUUGGUAGAAUCUACGAAGGGACAUUUCUGACCCAUUGAGGCCUACGGUAAAAAAUGUAGGGACAUUUCUGAGCCCAUUGAAGCCUGUAGUUAAAAACCGAAUUUCUGGCGAUAAAAUCUAGAAACAAGCCAUCUGUGAAAAUGCUUUGUAAUGUGUGGACUUAUCUCACAAAGUUAAAACUAUGUUUUUAACCAACAGGUUGAAAUCACUCUUUUUGUAGAAUCUAUGAAAAGACGUUUCUGAGCCCACUGAGGCCUGUAGAGAAAAACUGAAUAUCCUGCAAUAAAAACUAGAAAAAAAGCUGUCUGAGUAAAUGGUUCCCGAUGUGUGGGUUAAUCUCACAGAGUUAAACAUUUGUUUUUAUUCAACAUGUUAGAAACGUUCUUUUUGUAGAAUCUACGAAGGAAUAUUUCUGAGCCCAUUGAGGCCUAUAGCAAGAAGCCGUAUAUCCCGCAAUAAAAACUGGAAACAAGCAAUCUGUGAAAAUCUUUUGUGAUGUAUGCAUUUAUCUCACCAAAUGGAACCUGUGUUUUGAUUCACCAGUUUGGAAACACUCUUUUGUGGAAUGUAUGAAGGGACAUUUCUUAGCCAGUUGAGGUGUAUAGUGAUAUACCAAAUAUCCCAGGAUAGAAACUAGAAACAAGUUAUCUGUGAAAAUGCUCUGUGAUGUGUGGAUGUAUCUCACAGAGAUGAACCUUUGUUUUGAUUCAACACGUUGAAAACACUUUUUUUGUAGAAUCUACAAAGGGACAUUUCUGAGACCAUUAAAAACUAUAGUAAAAAAAUGUAUAAUGCACUUUAAAAUAUAGAAACAAAGCUAUCUGUGAAAAUGCUUUGCAAUAUGUGGAUUCAUGUCACAGAUUUAAACCUUUGUUUUGAUUGAACAAAUUGGAAACACUGUUUUAGUAGAUUAUAUAAAGGGACAUUUCAAAGCCCAUUGAAGCCUAUAGUGAAAAAUCAAAUAUCCUGUGAGCAAAAAUAGAAACAACCUCUGUGGGAAAGUGCUGUGUGAUAUGUUCAUUCAUCUCACAGGGAUAACCUUUGUUUUUAUUCAACACCUUGGAAACAUUCUUUUUGUAGAAUCUAUGAAAAAAAAUUUCUGAGCCAAUCGAAGUCUAUAGUGAAAAAGCUAAUAUCCCAUUUUAAAAUCUAAAACAAACUGUGAAAAUGAGUUUUGAUGUGUGGAUUCAUCUGAGAGUUGGACCUUUGUUCUAAAUCAACAGGUUAAGAACACUUUUUUUGUAGAAUCUAUGAAAAAACAUUUCUGAGCCCAUUGAGGCCUAUUGUGAAGUGAAUCUCUCGCGAUAAAAAGUAGAAACCAGCUCUCUGUGAAAUCGUUUUGUGAUGUGUAAAUUUAUCUCACAGAGUUAAAACUUUGUUUUAAUUCAACAAGUUGAAAACGCUCUUUUUAUAGAAUCUGCAAAGAGACAUUUCUGAGCCCAUGGAGGCCAAUAGCAAAAAAAAUGAAUAUCCCACAAUAAAAACUAGAAACAAAAUAGCUGUGUAAAUGCUUUGCAAUGUGUGGAUUUGUCUCACCGAGUUAAACCUAUGUUUUGAUUCAACACGUUAAAAAACUUGUUUUUGUAGAAUCUUCGAAGGGACAAUUCUGAGCCUAUGGAGAUUAUAGCAAAAAACUGAAUAUCCUGCGAUAAAAACUAGAAACAAGAUAUCUGUGGAAAUGCUUUGAGAUGUGUAGAUUUAUUUCACAGAAUUAAACCUUUGUUUUGAUUUAACAGGUUGGAACCACUGUAUUUGAAGAAUCUGUGAAGAAAUAUCUUUGUCCCUAUUGUACACUAUAGUGGACAACUGAAUACUUCAUGACAAAAACUAGAAACAAGCUAGCUGUGAAAAUGGUUUGCAAUGGGUGAAUUCAUCUCACUGAGUUAAACCUUCGUUUUGAUUCAACAGGUGUGAAACACUCUUUUUGUAGAAUCUACAAAGAAACAUUUUUGAGCCCCUCGAGGACUAUAGUGAAAAAAUGAAUCUCCUGCAUUAAUAUCUAGAAACAAUCUAUUUGUGAAAAUGCUGUGUGAUGCAUGGAUCCAUCUCACAGAUUUCAAACUUUAUUUUGAUUCAACAGGCUGGAAACACUCUUCUUAUAGAAACUACGAAGGGUCAUUUCUGAACCCAUUGAGGCCAAUAGUGAAAAACUAAAUAUCCUGCAAUAAACCUAGAAAAAAUCUAUCUGUGAAAAUACUUUGUGUAAUGUGGAUGAGUGUCUCAGGGUUAAACGUUUGUUUUUAUUCACCAGGUUUGAAACACUGUUUUUGUUGAACAGACAAAGGGACAUUUCUUAGCCCAGUUAGGCCUAUAAAGGUAAACCGAAUAUCCUGCAAUAAAUAGUAGAAACAAGCUAUCUGCAAAAAUGCUUUGUGAAUUGUAGAUUCAUCUCACUGAAUUAAGCCUUUGUUUUAAUUCAACAGGUUAAAAGCACUCUUUUUGUAGACUCUACGAAGAAACAUUUCUGAAACCAUUGAAACCUAUAGGGGAAAAAAAAAACCCAAAACUCCUGUGAUAAAAAAUGGAAAGCAACUAUCUGUGAAAAUGCUUUGUAAUGUGUGGAUUCUUCUCACAGAGUUUAACCUUUGUUCUGAUUCAACAUGUUGAGACCACUCUUUUUGUAGAAUCUACGAAGAGAUACUUUUUAACCUAUCGAGGCCUCUAGUGAAAAACAGAAUGUCCUGCAAUAAAAACUGGAAACAACCUGUCUGUGAAAAUGCCUUGUGAUUCGUCUAUUCAUCUCAUAGAAUGAAACUUGUGCUUUGAUUCAACAGGUUUGAAACACUUUUUUGUAGAAUCUACGAGGGACAUUUCUGAGCAAAUUGAGGAGUGUAGUGAAAAACCGAAUAUCCCACCAUAAAAACUACAAACAUUCUGUCUGUGAACAUACUCCCAACCGACCCCGGGUAUUCCAAUAUGAGAGACUCCUGACUGACCCCAGGCAGUCUAAGGAUAGAGUCUCCUGGGCGACUUGAGGCAUUCUAAUGGGAGAGACUCCUGGCAGACUGCAGACAUUCUAAUGACAGAGACACCUGUGCAACUCCAGGCAUCCUAAUGAAAGAGACUCUAGGCCGACCUUAGGCAUUCUUGUGAUAGGGGCAACUGUGCGUCUUAAGACAUUUUUAUGAGAGAGACUCCAGGCCGACCCCAGGCAUUCUAAGGAGAGAGACUUCUUGCCGAAUUCAGACACUGUAACAACAGAGACACCGGGGCAACCCCCAACAUUCUAAUGAGAGGGACUCCUGGUCUACCUGGACAGUUCAAUGAUAAAGACACUUUUGCGACCCCAGGCAUUUUAAUAGGAGAGACUCCCAGCCAAAACCAGGCAUUCAAAGUGGAGAGACACCCAGCCAACCACAGGCAGUCUAAUGUUAGAGACGCCUGGAUGAUCCCAGGCAUUAUAAUGGGAGAAACUGCCAGCCAAACGCAGGCAGUCUAAUGAUAGAGAUACCCAGCCAACCCCAGGCAUUUUAAUAAGAAAGACUCCUGGUCCACCCUAGGCAUUCCAAUGAUAGAGACACUGGGAUGACCCAAGGUAAUCUACUGGGAGAGACUCCCUGCAAACCCCAGUGAUUCUAAUGGGAGAGACUGCUGGCCGACACCAGGCAGUCUGAUAGAAACCCCUGGGCAACCCCAGGCAUUCUAAUGAAAGUGAUUCCUGGCUGAACUUAGGCAGGCUAAUGACAGAGACAUCUGGGUGACCCAAGGCAUUCUAAUGGUACGGGCUCCCAGGAAGUUCCAGGCAUUCUAAUGGGAGAGACUCUUGGCCGACCACAGGCAGUUUAAGGAUAGAAACACCUGGGAGACCCCAGGCAUUUUAAUGGAAAGACUCCAUGCUGACUCAAGGCAGCCUAAUUACAGAAAAACCGGGUGACCCCAGGUAUUCUAAUGGAAGAGACUCCUGGUGGAUCCCAGGCAGUCUAAUGAUAGAGACACCUGGGCAACCACAGGCAUUCUAAUGGGAGAGACUCCCAGCAGAGCCCAGGCAAUCAAAUGAUACAGACACCUGGGCGACCCCUAAUAUUCUAAUAGAAGAGACUCCCAGUCAACCCCAGGCAUUCUGGUAAGAGACUUCUAGCCGACAAAAGGCAGUCUUAGGAUAGAGACACCUAGGCGACCUCAGGCAUUCUAAUGGGAGAGAUUCAUGGCUGACCCUUGUUAGUCUAACGAUAGAGUCACCUGGGUGACCCCAGUCAUUCUAAUGAGAUAGACUCCUGCCGAACCCAAGCAGUCUAAUUAUAAAGACAUUUCGGUGACCUGAGGCAUUCUAAGGAAAGAGACUCCUGGUGGAUCCCAGGCAGUCUAAUAAUAAAGACACCUGAGCAACCCCAGGUAUUCUAAUGGAAGAGACUCCCAGCUGACCCCAGGCAGUCCAAUGAUAGAACUCCUGGGCAAACCCAGGCAUUCUAAUGGGAGAGACUUCUGGCCAAACCUAGGCAGUAUAAUUUUAUACGCCAAGUCGACCCCAGGCAUUUUAAGGGGAGUGACUCCCAGCCGACUCCAGGCCACCUAAUGAUAGAGACACCUGGGUGACCCUAGGCAUUCUAAUGGGAGGGACUCACCGCCGACCCCAGCCAUUCUAAUGGGAGAGACUCGUGGCCUACCCCAGGCAGUCUAACGAUAGAGACACCUGAACAGCCCCAGGAAUUCUAGUGGGAGAGACACCCGACCAACUGCAGGAAAUCUAAUGAUAGAGACAACUGGGCAACAGCAGGCAUUUUAAUGGAAUAGACUCUCGGAUGACUUGAUGUUUUAAUGAUAGAGACACCUGGGCGUUCCCAGGCUUUCUAAUAGGAGAGAUUUCCAGCCAAACCCAGGCAUUCUUUUGAAAGAGAUGUCUGGCUGACCCCAGGCAGUCUGAUUAUAGACACACCUGGGCGACCUCAGGAGUUUUAAUUGGAGAGAUUACCGGCUGAUCACAGGCAGUCUAAUGACAAAGGCAUCUAUGUGACUUAAGACAUUCUAAUGGGAGAGACUCCAGACCGACAUCAGACAUUCUAAUAAUAGCGACACCUCUGUGACUCCAGGUAUUCUAACGGGAGAGACUCCGGGCCGACACCAGGCAUUCUAAUAAAAAAGACUCCUGGCUGACCAUAGGCUCUCUAAUGAUAGAGACAUCUGAGCGACCAUUGGCAUUCUAAUAAUAGAGAUUCCCGGCUGACCUCAGGGACCCUAAUGGGAGAGACUCCUAGCUGAUGCAGGCAGUCUUAUGAUAGAGACACUUCAAUGACCCGAGACAUUCUAAGAGAGGGUCCUGGUUGAACCCAGGCAUUCAAAUGAUAGACACCUUAUCGAGGACAGGCUUUUUAAUGGGAGAGACUCCCGCCAAACCGCAGGCAGUCUAAUAAAGAAAUAGGGAUGAAUACAGGUAUUCUAAUGAGAGACACUCCUGGCUGACCUCAGGCAGUCUAACGAUAGAGACACCUGGGAGAGUCCAGGCAUUCUAAUGGGAGAGACUGCUGGCUGAACACAGGCAGUCAAAUUGUAGAGGAAUCUAAGCCACCAAAGGCAUUUUAAUAGGAGAGCCUCCCAGCUGACCCCAGGCAGUCUAAUGAUAGAGACACCUGGGUGACCCCAGGCAUACUAAUGGGAGAAACUCCCGGAUGACUCAAGGCAUUCUAAUAAGAGACAAUCUUGGCGGACCGCAGGCAGUCUAAUGUUGACAGCUGGGCAACCACAGGCAUUCUAAUGGGAGAGACUACAGGAGAAGCCCAGGCAUGCAAAUAAUAGAUACACCUAUGCGACCCCAAGCAUUCUAAUGAGAGAGAAUUCCAGCUGACACCAGAUAUUCUAAUGGGAGAAACUCCUGCCUGACCCCAGGCAGUCUAAUAAUACAGACACCUGGAUGACAUCAGGCAUUCUAAUUGGAGAGGCUUCUGUACAAACCCAGGCAAUCCAUGCAUAGAGACAACUGGGUGACCCCAGGCAUUCUAAUGGGGGAGAUUCUCAACUGACCACAGGCAGUCUAAUGGUAGAGAAACUUGGGUGACCCAAGGCAUCCUAAUGGGGGAGACUUCCAAAGGACCCCAGCCAAUCUAACGUUAGAGACACCUGGGUGAACCCAGGCAUUCUUAUGGGAGAUACCCUCCACCGACCCCAGGAAUUCUAAUAAUAGUGACACCUGGGAUACAACGGGCAUUCUAAUGGAAGAGACUGCUGGCUGACAUCAGGCAGUCUCAUAAUAGAGACACCUGUGAGACUCCAGGCAUUUUAAUGGGGGAAACUCCCAGAUGACCCCAAGCAAUCUAAUGUUAGAGAGAGCUGUGCAACCCCAAGCAGCAAUCUAAUGUUAGAGAGAGCUGUGCAACCCCAAGCAGUCUAAUGUUAGAGACACCUGGGUGACCCAGGUAUUAUGGGAGAGACCUCCAGCCGACCCCAGGAAUUUAAUGAGAGAGACACGUGGGUGACCCCAGUCAUUCCAAUGGGAGAGACUCCCAGAUGACAGAAAGCAUUCUAAUGGGAGAUACUCGUGGUCAACCCCAGGCAGUCUAAUGACAGAGACACUGAUCGAGCCCACUCAUUGUAAUGGGAGAGACUAAUAGUCGAACACAGGCAGUCUAAUAGUAGAGACACCUAGGUGAUCCUAGACAUUCUAAUGGAAAAGACUAUUAUCUGACCCCAGGCGUUCUAAUAUUACAGAAACCUGGGUGACCUAAGGCAUUCUAAUGGAAGAGACUUCCAUCUGAACCCUGGAAUUCUAAUGGGAAAGACUCCAAGCCAGCCCAGGCAAUCUAAUGAUAGAGACAUCUGUGCAACCACAGGCAAUCUAAUGAAAGAGACUCCCGGCCAAUCGCAGGCAGUAUAAUGACAGAGACACCUGAACGACUGCAGGUAUUUUAAUGGGAGACACUUCUGGCUGACCCCAGGCAGUCUAAUAAUAGAGACACUUGAUGGACCCCAAGCAUUCUAAUAGAAGAGACUUCGAGCUGACCCCAGGCAGUCUAAUUAUAAAGACACCUGGGUGACCUUAGUAAUUUUAAUGGGUAAGACUCCUGGCAAAUCACAGGCAAUUCUAAUGGAAGAGACUCCUGACUGACACCAGGCAGUCUAAUAAUAGAGAAACCUGGGCAAUCCCAGGCAUUUUUAUGGGAGAGACUGCUGGCUGAACCCGGCAGUCUAAUGAUAGAGACACAUGGGCAAACCCAAACAUUCUAAUGGGAGAGAUUCCCAGCCAAUUCCAUGCAUUCUAAUGAAAGAAUCUCCUGGCCAACCCCAGGCAGUCUUAAAAUAGACACCUGGGUGACACCAGGCAGUUGAAUGGGAGAGACUCCUGGCUGACACCAAGCAGUCUAAUGACAGAGACACCUGGGCUACCCCAGGCAUUCUAAAAAAAAAAGAAUCCCGGCUGACAUGAAGCAGUCUAAUGAUAGACAACUGGGCACCACAGGCAUUCUAGUGGGAGAGACUCCCGGCCGAUUCCAGACAUUCUAAUUUGAGAGAAUUUGGGAGAUGCCCGGCAUUCUCAUUGGCGAUAUCAAUGACCGACCUGCACCAGACUAACGAUGAAAACGCCUCUGCGAACCCAGGCAUUCUAAUGGGAGGGGCUCUGGGCGACCUCAUGCAGUCUAAUGAAAAAGACGCCUGGGUGACCUUAGACAUUCUAAUGGGAGAGACUCUGGUCCUACCCUAGACUGCCUAAGGUUAGAGACACCUGGUCAACCCCAGGCAUUCCAAUGAAAGAGACUCCUGGCCCAAUUCAGGCAGUCUAAUGAUAGAGACACCAAUGUCACCCUAAGCAUUCUAAUGUGAGAGACUCCUGGCUGAGACCAGGCAGUCUAAUUAUAGACACCUGGGCAACCCCAGGAAUUCUAACAAGAGAGAAUUCAGGCUGACCCCAGGCAGUCUAAUGAUAGAGAAACCUGGGCAACUCCAGGCAUAAUAAUGGGAGAGACUGCUGGCUGACCCAAAGCAGUCUAAUGAUAAAGACCCCUGGGCACGCUAUCUGUGAAAAUGCUUUAGGAUGUGUGGAUUAGUCCCACCAAAUGGAACCUGUGUAUUGAUUCACCAGGUUGAAAACACUCUUGCUGUAGAAUCUAUGAAGGGAUAUUUCUAAGACAAUUUAGGCCUAUAGUGACAGACUGUAUAUUUUGCAAUGAAAAAUAGAAACAAGCUAUCUGUGAAAAUGCUUCAUGAAAUGUGGAUUUAUUUCAAUGAUGUAAAACUUUGUUUUGAUUCAACAGGCUGGAAAGCCUCGUUUUGUAGUAUCUACAAAAAGACAUUUCUGAGCUCAUUGAGACUGAUAGUGAAAAAUCUAAUAUCCUGUGGAUAAAAAGUAUAAAAAUGCUGUGUGAAAAUGCUUUGCCAUGUGUGAAUUCAUCUCAAACAGUUAAAACUUUGUUUUGAUUCAACAGGUUGGAAACACUUUUACUGUAUUAUCUAUGAAGAAACGUUUAUGAGGCCAUUAAGUCCUAUACUGAAAAACUGAAUGUACUGCAUUAAACACUCUAAAGAAGCUAACUGUGAAAAUGCUUUGCAAUGUGUGUAUUUAUCUCACAGAGUUAAACUGUUGUUUUGGUUAAUCAGUUUGGAAACAGUUUUUUUUGUAGAAUCUAUGAAGGGACAUUUCAGAGGCCAUUGAGGCCUAUAAUAAAGAAACAAAUAUCCCAUAAUAAAACAAGAAACAUAUAGAAACAAGCUAUAUGUGAAAAUGCUUUGUGAUAUCUGGAUUCUUCUCACUGAAUCGAACCUGGGUUUUGAGUCACCAGGUUGGAAACACUUUUUUCAUAAAAUCUAAGAAGGGACAUUUCUGAGCCUAUUGAGGCAUAUAGUGAAAAACCGAGGAUCCUGUGAUAAAAACUAGAAAAACACAAUAUGUGAAGUUGCUUUGUGAUGUGUGGAUUCUUCUCACCGAAUGGAAUCUCUGUUUUGAUUCAACAGGUUGGAAACAUGUUUUUGUAGAAUGUAC